AUACACAUCUGCAAAGAUCCAUCUUUUUUUAUUUUUUAUUUUUAAAAAUAAGAUAGGAGCUUCUAAUAGAGAUUUCAAAUGGCAUAUGAAGUUCUUAGCCAAGUUCUUGUCAAUGUACUCCUUUAGUACAAGCAACUUAUUUUACAAUAAGUUAUAGAUUUGUCCAAAUGGUGAUUGAGCUCAUUUUCUUAAAUCAAUUGAAUAAUCAUAAGAUCAAUGCUUUGAAAGAAUAUCUAUAUUUUUCUUUUCAAAAAUAUCUUGAAAAUUUUAAUACUGGCUAAGAAUACUACUUGACAUCUUUCUACCAUCAGAAAUGAAUGUGGCAUAUAUAGCAAAAGAUUACUCUUUUUUUACUGCAUACAUGAAAGUUCUUGUACCUAACAAUAAGAAUUUAGAUGCACUAGGCUUAUUUAUUUCUACUUCACCAUUGAUAUUUUA
RNAcentral lists this long non-coding RNA (438 nucleotides) under Physcomitrium patens. Its description in RNAcentral is "long non-coding RNA (PPAT_LNC010082)". The record is from RNAcentral. Lineage: Eukaryota; Viridiplantae; Streptophyta; Bryopsida; Funariales; Funariaceae.